UGGGAAAUGUAAGGUAUUAAAAAGUAAGUGGUUUUGCUAUUGAUCAUAUAUUAUUGUGAUUUCAGAGUUGAUCUACGAUAUAUCUCAAGUUAGAGGGUUUGCAACGGUUCAAGAUAUACACAAUGAAGUCGGUACAAGAGUAUAAUGGAAGUGUUCUUGAUGAUGAAUAUACAAUGGUUAAAUAGGUUGAAUACCUUAAAACGUGUUGUGGACAUAAAGGUGAUAAAAUACUAUUUGGGAUGUCAUGCUACGAUUUGUUCUUGUACCGUCAAGUGAUGUCGUUAGUGAUUGCAGUCAUUGUCGAUUGAUAGGUGACAAGCGAUGCAUUAUUGUAGAAGAAAUACAUAAAGGUGAAAGGUACUACUUGAUGGCAGUUACGGAAGCACUGGAAAUAUAAUGAUAAUUUUCACUUCGACAAGUAGAUAAUUGAGAGAAACUUGUAGAAGGUAUAGGAGAUCGGAAUGUGUCAAAAGAUUGGAGGUUAUGUAGUAGAAGCGGAUUACAUGUUUUUUGUUAGUUAUUGAAGAGUGAAUGAUUAUUCUGAAUUAUAUUAUGUUAUAGUAGCUGCUGACCGUGAUUCAAUCGAAUAGUGCUACUUUUUAGGAAGUCCGAAGAUGGAAAAUAGAAGAAUAUGAAUGUUCAUAGGAUAAGACGUUACAUGUACAUUUUAUAUUUAGUGAGUAAUAGUAUGAAGGAUUCAGUAUUAUAAAUCACGUUAUUUUCAAUUAUUAUUACUGUUUCUAAAUAUAGUUUAAUAUAAUAUAUGUGUGACUAUGAAUAUUAAAUGUAGAAAUACCAUUAUGGUGGAUGCGCUGUGUGGUAUUUUGGAAUGUGAA
Long non-coding RNA from Coccinella septempunctata (seven-spotted ladybird), 836 nucleotides. RefSeq lists it as uncharacterized. The record is from RefSeq and is a predicted model, not a curated record. The transcript is spliced from 2 exons. NCBI's taxonomy places the organism in Eukaryota, Metazoa, Arthropoda, Insecta, Coleoptera, Coccinellidae.